This 468-nucleotide ribosomal RNA is filed under the name uncultured bacterium. RNAcentral describes it as "partial 16S ribosomal RNA". It matches the Rfam family "Bacterial small subunit ribosomal RNA", at positions 28 to 507 of the family's 1533-position model. The record is from RNAcentral.
GACGAACGCUGGCGGCGUGCUUAACACAUGCAAGUCGAACGGAAAGGCCCUGCUUUUGUGGGGUGCUCGAGUGGCGAACGGGUGAGUAACACGUGAGUAACCUGCCCUUGACUUUGGGAUAACUUCAGGAAACUGGGGCUAAUACCGGAUAGGAGCUCCUGCUGCAUGGUGGGGGUUGGAAAGUUUCGGCGGUUGGGGAUGGACUCGCGGCUUAUCAGCUUGUUGGUGGGGUAGUGGCUUACCAAGGCUUUGACGGGUAGCCGGCCUGAGAGGGUGACCGGCCACAUUGGGACUGAGAUACGGCCCAGACUGCUACGGGAGGCAGCAGUGGGGAAUAUUGCACAAUGGGCGGAAGCCUGAUGCAGCAACGCCGCGUGCGGGAUGACGGCCUUCGGGGUGUAAACCGCUGUCGCCUGUGACGAAGCGUGAGUGACGGUAAUGGGUAAAGAAGCACCGGCUAACUACGUG